GGAAAAGAGCUCUUCAAGUCAACAUACAGAUUUCACACAUAAAAUCUCAACUCUUCUUUUUUUCUGAGACUGAUCAGACUCUGGAUAAAGCAACUGAGUUAUUCUGUCACAGUUAGCUGUGUGUUCUUCCACUGAAUGAAUGACCAUGAAGAUCCUGUGCUAUGUAUUGAAAUGAAGUGACCUGAUACUUCCAAGAUUGCUUUGAUAUUUCAGCACAAUGAGCUCUUGUCUGCCCUACUAGUCAACUCUGCCUUUGUACUGAAGAAGAAACCAUAGAGGAAACAUAAAAUUUAAUGGACCAUAGUCUGUUGCCCAUGUCCUCACGCAUCAUAGAAGAAGCACCACAAAUGUCAAU
This is a long non-coding RNA of Sorex fumeus (smoky shrew), 355 nucleotides long. RefSeq lists it as uncharacterized. The transcript has 3 exons. The record is from RefSeq and is a predicted model, not a curated record. Lineage: Eukaryota; Metazoa; Chordata; Mammalia; Eulipotyphla; Soricidae.